AGUGAACGCUGGCGGUAGGCCUAACACAUGCAAGUCGAACGGCAGCACAGUAAGAGCUUGCUCUUACGGGUGGCGAGUGGCGUACGGGUGAGGAAUACAUCGGAAUCUACUUUUUCGUGGGGGAUAACGUAGGGAAACUUACGCUAAUACCGCAUACGACCUACGGGUGAAAGCAGGGGAUCUUCGGACCUUGCGCGAUUGAAUGAGCCGAUGUCGGAUUAGCUAGUUGGCGGGGUAAAGGCCCACCAAGGCGACGAUCCGUAGCUGGUCUGAGAGGAUGAUCAGCCACACUGGAACUGAGACACGGUCCAGACUCCUACGGGAGGCAGCAGUGGGGAAUAUUGGACAAAGGGCGCAAGCCUGAUCCAGCCAUACCGCGUGGGUGAAGAAGGCCUUCGGGUUGUAAAGCCCUUUUGUUGGGAAAGAAAAGCAGCAGGUUAAUACCCCGCUGUUCUGACGGUACCCAAAGAAUAAGCACCGGCUAACUUCGUG
Molecule: ribosomal RNA, 492 nt
Filed under: uncultured bacterium
Lineage: Bacteria
Description: partial 16S ribosomal RNA
Rfam family: Bacterial small subunit ribosomal RNA
Source: RNAcentral